RNAcentral lists this ribosomal RNA (253 nucleotides) under uncultured bacterium. RNAcentral's name for it is "partial 16S ribosomal RNA". It matches the Rfam family "Bacterial small subunit ribosomal RNA", at positions 524 to 776 of the family's 1533-position model. The record is from RNAcentral.
UACAGAGGUGGCAAGCGUUGUUCGGAAUUACUGGGCGUAAAGGGCGCGUAGGCGGCCGCCUAAGUCAGACGUGAAAUCCCCAGGCUUAACUUGGGAACUGCGUCUGAUACUGGGUGGCUUGAGUUCGGGAGAGGAAUGUGGAAUUCCAGGUGUAGCGGUGAAAUGCGUAGAUAUCUGGAGGAACACCGGUGGCGAAGGCGGCAUCCUGGACCGAAACUGACGCUGAGGCGCGAAAGCCAGGGGAGCAAACGGG